AGAGUUUGAUCAUGGCUCAGGAUGAACGCUGGCGGUAUGCUUAACACAUGCAAGUCGAACGGGGAACUUCGGUUUCUAGUGGCGGACGGGUGAGUAACGCGUGAGAAUCUGCCUUCAGGACGGGGACAACAGUUGGAAACGGCUGCUAAAACCCGAUGUGCCUACGGGUGAAAUAUUAAUAGCCUGGAGAGGAGCUCGCGUCUGAUUAGCUAGUUGGUUGGGUAAUGGCUGACCAAGGCGACGAUCAGUAGCUGGUCUGAGAGGAUGACCAGUCACACUGGGACUGAGACACGGCCCAGACUCCUACGGGAGGCAGCAGUGGGGAAUUUUCCGCAAUGGGCGCAAGCCUGACGGAGCAAUACCGCGUGAGGGAGGAAGGCUCUUGGGUCGUAAACCUCUUUUAUCAGGGAAGAACACAAUGACGGUACCUGAUGAAUCAGCAUCGGCUAACUCUGAGCCAGCCGCCGCGGUAAUAC
RNAcentral lists this ribosomal RNA (476 nucleotides) under Phormidium sp. 6_1AB_1. RNAcentral describes it as "bacterial SSU rRNA". It matches the Rfam family "Bacterial small subunit ribosomal RNA", at positions 8 to 526 of the family's 1533-position model. RNAcentral also lists the same sequence under 1 other name. Lineage: Bacteria; Bacillati; Cyanobacteriota; Cyanophyceae; Oscillatoriales; Oscillatoriaceae. The record is from RNAcentral.